Molecule: long non-coding RNA, 326 nt
Organism: Fukomys damarensis (Damara mole-rat)
Lineage: Eukaryota; Metazoa; Chordata; Mammalia; Rodentia; Bathyergidae
Exons: 2
Source: RefSeq, a predicted model, not a curated record
GGACCCCAUGGUGGGUGAGUCCAUGUGGGGUGUGUUCCUCUCCCACCCCAUCCUAUACUCACCCUGUGGAUCUUUGCAUCUGGAUCCUUCCUAACUAACCUGUAAGGAUGAAUGCUUCCCUGAGUUCUGUGAACAACUCCUGCAGAGUGAUUGAACUUGAGUUAGCCUGCUGGAGAUAGACUCAGGGGUUGGACGCAAAAAUGUGGUGCACAUCUAUAAAGAAGAGAGAAGCCAAGAUUCAGGAAAGCGAGAGGCCAUUGUACCACACUGUGACACUGAAAUUUUUGUUGCUCCUGCAGAGAGUUUGGGAGCUGGAAUGCUGCUGG